This 486-nucleotide ribosomal RNA is filed under the name uncultured bacterium. RNAcentral's name for it is "partial 16S ribosomal RNA". It matches the Rfam family "Bacterial small subunit ribosomal RNA", at positions 30 to 507 of the family's 1533-position model. The record is from RNAcentral.
AUUGAACGCUGGCGGCAUGCCUUACACAUGCAAGUCGAACGGCAGCACGGGUGCUUGCACCUGGUGGCGAGUGGCGAACGGGUGAGUAAUACAUCGGAACAUGUCCUGUAGUGGGGGAUAGCCCGGCGAAAGCCGGAUUAAUACCGCAUACGAUCCACGGAUGAAAGCGGGGGACCUUCGGGCCUCGCGCUAUAGGGUUGGCCGAUGGCUGAUUAGCUAGUUGGUGGGGUAAAGGCCUACCAAGGCGACGAUCAGUAGCUGGUCUGAGAGGACGACCAGCCACACUGGGACUGAGACACGGCCCAGACUCCUACGGGAGGCAGCAGUGGGGAAUUUUGGACAAUGGGCGAAAGCCUGAUCCAGCAACGCCGCGUGUGUGAAGAAGGCCUUCGGGUUGUAAAGCACUUUUGUCCGGAAAGAAAUCCUUGGCUCUAAUACAGUCGGGGGAUGACGGUACCGGUAGAAUAAGCACCGGCUAACUACGUG